RNAcentral lists this unclassified non-coding RNA (885 nucleotides) under Hevea brasiliensis (rubber tree). The record is from RNAcentral. Lineage: Eukaryota; Viridiplantae; Streptophyta; Magnoliopsida; Malpighiales; Euphorbiaceae.
GCCAGUGAGUGUGUUGCCCGUGGUUGUGCUUUGCAAUGUGCCAUGCUCAGCCCCACAUUUAAAGUGAGGGAAUUUCAGGUCAAUGAAAGUUCCCCAUUCCCAAUUGCAUUGUCAUGGAAAGCUUCUUCUCAAGAAGCGCAGAAUGGAGCAACAGAUAACCAACAGUUUUCAGUUGUCUUUCCCAAGGGGAAUCCCAUACCAAGCAUCAAAGCUCUGACGUUCUAUAGAUCCAGCACAUUUUCGAUUGAUGCUAUUUACACGGAUACGAGUGAUAUGCAGGCCUUACCCAAGAUUAGCACAUAUACGAUUGGUCCUUUUCAAUCGACCAAAGGUGAGCGUGCUAAGUUGAAAGUCAAGGUUCGCUUGAAUAUCCACGGAAUUGUUUCUGUUGAGUCGGCAACUAUGCUGGAGGAUGAAGAAGUCGAAAUUCCAGUAUCAGCUGUGAAGGAGCCAGCCACAAAGAUGGACACAGAUGCAGGAAAUGACUCUGCUUCUCCUGGUGAUGUAGACAUGCAUGAUGGUUCAAAUACUGGUGUAGAAAACGGUGAGUCACAGUCUGAAGACAAGGCUGAAAGGAUGGAAACGGAUGCUAAGACCGAGGCACCGAAGAAGAAGGUGAAGAAAACCAAUGUUCCAGUAACUGAAUAUGUUUAUGGAGCAAUGCCAUCUGCAGACCUGCAGAAAGCUGUUGAGAAGGAGUUUGAAAUGGCUCUUCAAGAUAGAGUGAUGGAAGAAACCAAAGAUAAGAAGAAUGCCGUAGAGGCGUAUGUUUAUGACAUGCGAAACAAGCUCCAUGACAAGUAUAAUGACUUUGUCACCGGUCCGGAGAAGGAUGAGCUUUCUGCAAAACUGCAAGAGGUUGAGGAUUGGUUGUAUGAAGAUGGC